GACAGAGGUGCCAAGCGUUAGGCGGAAUCACUGGGCUUAAAGCGUGUGUAGGUGGAUGCCUAAGUACCUUGUGAAAUCCCACGGCUCACCCGUGGAACUGCUGGGUAUACUGGGUGUCUUGAGCCACUUAGGGGUCGCUGGAACAAACGGUGGAGCGGUGAAAUGCGUAGAUAUCGUUUGGAACGCCAAUGGUGAAAACAGGCGACUGGGAGUGUGCUGACACUGAGACACGAAAGCCAGGGGAGCGAACGGG
RNAcentral lists this ribosomal RNA (253 nucleotides) under uncultured bacterium. Its description in RNAcentral is "partial 16S ribosomal RNA". It matches the Rfam family "Bacterial small subunit ribosomal RNA", at positions 524 to 776 of the family's 1533-position model. The record is from RNAcentral.